This 500-nucleotide ribosomal RNA is filed under the name uncultured microorganism. Its description in RNAcentral is "bacterial SSU rRNA". It matches the Rfam family "Archaeal small subunit ribosomal RNA", at positions 234 to 734 of the family's 1478-position model. The record is from RNAcentral.
AGUGGGUGUAACGUACCUACUAGCCUACGACGGGUACGGGUUGUGAGAGCAAGAGCCCGGAGAUGGAUUCUGAGACACGAAUCCAGGCCCUACGGGGUGCAGCAGGCGCGAAAACUUUACAAUGCUGGCAACAGCGAUAAGGGAACCUCGAGUGCCAGGUUACAAAUCUGGCUGUCGAGAUGCCUAAAAAGCAUUUCAUAGCAAGGGCCGGGCAAGACCGGUGCCAGCCGCCGCGGUAACACCGGCGGCUCGAGUGGUAACCGUUAUUAUUGGGUCUAAAGGGUCUGUAGCCGGCCGGAUAAGUCUCUUGAGAAAUCUGGCAGCUUAACUGUCAGGCUUCCAGGAGAUACUGUCUGGCUCGAGGCCGGGAGAGGUGAGAGGUACUUCAGGGGUAGGGGUGAAAUCUUGUAAUCCUUGAAGGACCACCAGUGGCGAAGGCGUCUCACCAGAACGGACCUGACGGCAAGGGACGAAAGCUAGGGGCACGAACCGGAUUAGAU